GACGAACGCUGGCGGCGUGCUUAACACAUGCAAGUCGAACGGAAAGGCCCUGCUUUUGUGGGGUGCUCGAGUGGCGAACGGGUGAGUAACACGUGAGUAACCUGCCCUUGUCUUUGGGAUAACUUCAGGAAACUGGGGCUAAUACAGGAUAGGAGCUCCUGCUGCAUGGUGGGGGUUGGAAAGUUUGGGCGGUUGGGGAUGGACUCGCGGCUUAUCAGCUUGUUGGUGGGGUAGUGGCUUACCAAGGCUGUGACGGGUAGCCGGCCUGGGAGGGUGACCGGCCACAUUGGGACUGAGAUACGGCCCAGACUCCUACGGGAGGCAGCAGUGGGGAACAUUGCACAAUGGGCGGAAGCCUGAUGCAGCAACGCCGCGUGCGGGAUGACGGCCUUCGGGUUGUAAACCGCUUUCGCCUGUGACGAAGCGUGAGUGACGGUAAUGGGUAAAGAAGCACCGGCUAACUACGUG
RNAcentral lists this ribosomal RNA (468 nucleotides) under uncultured bacterium. RNAcentral's name for it is "partial 16S ribosomal RNA". It matches the Rfam family "Bacterial small subunit ribosomal RNA", at positions 28 to 507 of the family's 1533-position model. The record is from RNAcentral.